Molecule: RNase P RNA, 397 nt
Filed under: Corynebacterium phocae
Lineage: Bacteria; Bacillati; Actinomycetota; Actinomycetes; Mycobacteriales; Corynebacteriaceae
Description: Bacterial RNase P class A
Rfam family: Bacterial RNase P class A
About the family: Ribonuclease P (RNase P) is a ubiquitous endoribonuclease, found in archaea, bacteria and eukarya as well as chloroplasts and mitochondria.
Source: Rfam by way of RNAcentral
CGAGCCGGCCGGGUGAACGCGACGCUUUUUCAAACGGCAGUCCAAGUGGCUGCACGUGGGCGUCGAGGAAAGUCCGGACUCCACAGAGCACGGUGGUUGCUAACGGCAACCCAGGGUGACCUGCGGGAUCAGUGCAACAGAAAGUAAACCGCCCGGCCUUUUAAGGUCAGGUAAGGGUGAAACGGUGCGGUAAGAGCGCACCAGCACCGCCAGUGAUGGCGGUGGCUAUGUAAACCCCACCGGGAGCAAGGCAUCACGGCCCGUACCACGUGCGGGCCCGAUCAAGCGCUAGUAGGCUGCUCGCCGAAGCUUGAAGGUAGCUGCUCGAGCCGCCAUGCGCGGCCUAGAUGGAUGUUCACCGUUUAGACAGAAUCCGGCUUAUAAGCCGGCUCGUUCG